This 253-nucleotide ribosomal RNA is filed under the name uncultured bacterium. RNAcentral's name for it is "partial 16S ribosomal RNA". It matches the Rfam family "Bacterial small subunit ribosomal RNA", at positions 524 to 776 of the family's 1533-position model. The record is from RNAcentral.
GACGUAGGAUGCAAGCGUUGUCCGGAUUUAUUGGGCGUAAAGAGUUCGUAGGCGGUUUGUUAAGUCUGAUGUUAAAGACUGAGGCUCAACCUUGGGAGUGCAUUGGAUACUGGCAGACUGGAGUAUGGUAGAGGUCAGUGGAAUUCCCAGUGUAGCGGUGAAAUGCGUAGAUAUUGGGAAGAACACCGGUGGCGUAAGCGACUGACUGGGCCAUAACUGACGCUGAGGAACGAAAGCCAGGGGAGCGAAUGGG